RNAcentral lists this long non-coding RNA (1743 nucleotides) under Macaca mulatta (Rhesus monkey). RNAcentral's name for it is "lncRNA (ENSMMUG00000051107.1)". Lineage: Eukaryota; Metazoa; Chordata; Mammalia; Primates; Cercopithecidae. The record is from RNAcentral.
AUGGGCCAUGCUCCUGGGCUUCCGAAGUUGGAGAAAGCUGCCAGGCUCAGGGCCAAUCUUCAGACCUCAGGACUUUCCAGCCUAUCCCACCUCCCUCUCUGGCCAGCCUUGAGCCCUUGUGGGUCCAGCACAUUUUCCAGGCUGUCUCCUGGUUGUCCUUCUGCCUCAAGAAAGGCAUGUACAUGCUCUCCAUGCAAAACCUUGCAUUGCGGCCAAGCGCAGUGGCUCACGCCUGUAAUCCCAGAACUUCGGGAGGCCGAGCCGGUCGGAUCACCUGAGGUCAGGAGUUUGAGACCAGCGUGCCCAACAUGGUGAAACCCCAUCUCUACUAAAAAUGCAAAAAAUUAGGCGUGGUGGCAGCCACCUUACUGGUGGCCUUACACCUUACAGGCUACUCUGGAGGCUAAGGCAGGAGAUUCACUUGAAUCCGGGAGGCAGAGGUUGCAGUGAGGUGAGAUUGCACCACUGCUCUCCAGCCUUGGUGACAAGAGCGAAACUCCAUCUCCAAAAAAAAACCCUUGCAUCCUUUCAGGGGGCUCACACUUCCCUAAGGGCCCGGUAGUUGAACCCCUUGGACCUGAGGGUGAGAAACCUUGCUUUAGUUCUUCCCUGGGUGAUCAGCCCAGGGUAAAGAAGGAGAAGCCAAAAAGGAGGACCCAUGAGAAGGGCCCCCUCCAGGAGUUUGAGGCCCACUCCCUCCUCCCCUGCCUGUCCUCUGUCCAGGUCUCCUCCCUGCUGUGCCCCACUCCUGGGGCCAUAACCAUUUGGAGCUGUGUUUUUCUACAGGCUCCUGGGUACAAAGUGGGCAGGCUCACCUGGAGGGGAUCAGAGUAACAUGGCAGGAAAUGAGGGGGAAAGCUGCCCUGGAACCGCGCCUCUCUUCCCCCUCAUGUCACUGGGGUGCACUCCUCCCUCACCUCACUGAGGCAGCCACAUGGGUUCCAUGUGAGUGCUGUCCUGCUUCCUCUGCUGCCUCUUUUUUUCCUUAGGGCUAUCAUAAAACUUUCUCUUUCCCAGCUCUGCCAAUCUGGUGGGACAUUGGGCUUCCUUCUCACAGGGUCCUGGGGACAGGCCCAUCCUGUAUCAUACCUGCAGAGAGACCUGUUUUUCUCCAGGGCCUGGGGAGCAGCCAGGUUCCAUGAGUGAAACGCAGAUCUGAACCAUACCAAGCUGGGGUUGGGGUCCACACUCCUCUACUGAGAAGGAGCUAGGGAUUCCAGCUAGGUGAGAGGGAGAGUGGGCAGAGCCAGACCAGACCAGGACUGAUCCCCUGGAAAAAGCCUGCCUUGGGGAGUGCUGGGUGCGGUGGCUCACUCCUGUAAUCCCAGCAGUUUGGGAGGCUGAGACAGGUGGAUCACUUGAGGUAAGGCGUUCAAGUCUAGCCUGGGCAACAUGGCAAAACCCCAUCUCUACUUAAAAUAUAAAAAUUAGCUAGGCAUACUAUGUUCCUGUAAUCCCAGCUACUCAAGAGGCUGAGGCAGGAGAAUUGCUUAAACUGGGGAGGCAGAGGUCGAAGUGAGCCGAGAUUGUGCCACUGCACUCCAGUCUGGGAGACAGAGUGAAACUGUGUUCAAACAAAAACAAAAACAAAAAAUACCAUAAUAUAGCUUUGGCAGAGAGCCUGGCCAGGCAGUGCCUUCCCUUGGGUUUCUCCUGGGUAGGCCUCUGCCAGGAGGAGGCGCUUCGUUUUGCCUGUCCAUGGCCCACAGCAAUGGAAUGUCUGCUUCCGAGGGUUGGGUGGGG